RNAcentral lists this long non-coding RNA (4962 nucleotides) under Salmo salar (Atlantic salmon). Its description in RNAcentral is "lncRNA (ENSSSAG00000120764.1)". The record is from RNAcentral. Lineage: Eukaryota; Metazoa; Chordata; Actinopteri; Salmoniformes; Salmonidae.
GGAAAGUAGUGGGCGUGUCAAAGAUUGGGUGUGUCGAAAGGAAAGUAGUGGGCAUGUGGAAAGGAGUUGUUUAGGAGAGGCUCCAAGAUGGCAGCUUGAGCGCACGUGUCCUACCGAGCUCUGCAUACCAACUUUUGUAAGAUAGUGAGAAGUGUAUUAUUUUGAACUUCCAAAUUAAUACUUCGCUUGCUAAAAACACCAGGUUAUUGAUGAUUUAAGAUGAUAUUUUCCAAAAUGUCACAGCGCACUGACAGAAAGAGACAUUUUAUGGCUACCUCCUCAGCUAGCAAUGCUCCGCCAUCAUCCAAUGUCGUUACACAGGAGGCAAAUGCUUUGAUUGACAACUGCCACAACUAUACUGGUCUGACAGAUUCUAUGACACUUUCCGUGUCAGAGGAGGAUUUUCCUUCUUUGCCUAUAACCAGAAGCAAACCUCCAGCUUCCAAGAAAGGCAUGUUUGAACUGGGCCCAGAUGCCGCUGCCAAUAAUGAUGUUAUCGCCACUCUUUCCAGGCUCAUCAAUGCAAGGUACGAUGCCAUAGAAAAAAUGGUUGGCGACAACGCAAUGAAAAUCGAGGGCUUAAAAAAAAAACUGUUGACUUUGCAUGCAUGUAAGAACGUUAAGAAGAAGGUCGCCCACAUUGAAAAGCAUGUCGAAAGGAGGAGGGAAAGAUGGACUUGUGCCAAAGAAGAAUCGCGGAACUUGAAAGCUAUUCCAGACGGUGGAAUCUAAGACUGUAUGGAGUUCCCGAGUCAGAUGGGGAGAACGUGCAGCAAGAGACCAUCAAAGUCUGCCAAGCUAUCCUACCUGUGGAGAAGGCUAAGCUAACAGAUGUUGUUGACACUGUACAUCGCCUCGGCACGAGAAGGCAGGGUGACUCCAAGCCCAGAGGUGUCAUUCUCCAGUUCACAUCAUGGAUCUACAGGGAUGCCAUUUGGAAAGCAGCCAAGAAAUGUACUUUCCUAUGCGAUAACAAUCUACGGUUUGCUGAAUACCUCUCAAAAGCAGACAGAGAAAGGAGAGAGAAACUGUGGCCAGCUGUGGAAAAAGCAUGAAAAGAAGUGAAAGCGGCUUACUUCAUCGGAGGGCGCGCUUUCAUCAACUGAUCCAAAAUCAACCUUACUCCUUGAGAACUGUCAUAGGCUGUGCCUGUUGGUCAACAUAGGCUACCUAGAUAGCUACCUCUGAUGUGAGCAGAUCUCACUCCCGGCUCUAAGGGAGGUAACCUGCAUAUGAUCUACAAUGCACUGUUACACCCACAGCCAAAGAGCCAUUGUUACAGUGGAACACAUUCUUCCUUCAGAUUCUCUAAAAUUGGUUCAGCCACAGUGGUCCCCAGGUUUUCACUCCAACCAUACAUCAUUGGGCUGUGUCUGGCUCCAUCAUCUCCUGUGGGCUGAACACCUUCUGGCAGUGGGACAGGUGACACCAGCCGGACCUUUCCUGAACUCUAACUGCCGUUGGUGUUGCCAUGGUUACCUCGAAUGGCCCCAUCCAUCUUGGCUGGUUCCAUUUUCUCUUGUGGACCCGGAUUUUGACCCAGUCUCCAACCUCCACAGGCAGGUAGUCAGGGUCCUCACCUGGUACCUCCUCCUGAGCUUUCCUAGUGUGAGAGUGGAGAGAUCUGACAAUAGUAGUUAGCUCUUUCAUGUUCUACUUCAGCUAGAGUGAGGUCUAUUUGUCUGUCAGUCAUGGGUCUGUGUGCAGGAACAUUCAUGGGUCUUCCUGUGAACAUUUAAUGUGGUGUGCACCCCAGGCCUUUAUUAACACUACUUCACAUUUUCAUUAACACCAGUGGUAAACAAUCCACCCAAGAUUUAUUGGUGGAGUGGCAUGCCGAAGCUAACCCUUGUUUAAUGGAUUGGUUAGCUCUCUUUGUAACCCCAUUACUCUGGGGGUGGUAGAUGGACACAAACUUCUGGUCCACACCCAUCAUUAUGGCUACCUGCUUCACUACAUCACCAGUGAAGUGGGUACCGUUGUCUGCAGAUAAUACCUAGAUUUGGUGUUCCUGAGAUUUUAUCUCCCUCACUAGUAGCUUUGCUACUGUCUUAGCAUCACAGUGUGUGGUGGGAAAUGCCUCCACCCACCUAGGUGAACCUGUCAAUAAAGACUAAACAGUACCUUUUCCUUUCUUUUCUUUCUGCAAGAUCUAUAAAAUCCAUGGCAAGAUGGACAAAUGGUCCUCUUAGCGUAGGGAAAUGACCUGGUUUCAGAGGUGUUCCUUUGGCAAUGUUAAAUUGCAUGCACGUAGCACAUCGGAACAGAAACUGUUUCACAUGCUGAGUCAAAUUUGGACAAAACCAAUCAUAUCCCCCCUUGACAAAUGGGCCAUACCAUGGGCCACUUGGCAAACAGAGGUGAUAAGACAAGCUGGCAUUCACUGUCUGCCAGACAGUCUGUCUCCAAAUUUUAGAAACUGUGUCAAGUUUACAACCCCGCUGUUGUCAUACCAAAUGAGAACCAACAUCCAAAGCCUGUUUAGAUGCCAAAUCAUCAGUGUCUUUCCCAACAGUAGCAGAGAAGAACAUGGAGUGGCUAUGACACUUUGAGGCAGCCAAUUUAGCAGCCUCAUCAGCCUCAUAUUUCGAAUAGUACUUCCACAAGCAUUGUGAAAACCCCUACUCCUCCAGACACCACACCAGGAGAGACAAACCCCUAUUGCAUAAGCAGAAUCGAAGAAAAGUGUAACCCUUUUCCCUUCUCUCAUGUUACAGGCAGUGGUUAGUGCCAAAAGUUCAGCCUGUUGAGCUGAGAAGGUAUCUGGUAAUGGUUGUUGUAUGUGAGUGGUUCUAUCAAUUGUUACAAUACCAAACCCUGCAUGUUUCUUCCCUGUAGUUUGAUCUAUAUAUGCAGAACCGUCCACGAAAAGCUCAGCAUCAGUCAGGGCAGUGUCAGAGAGGUGAGGCCCAGCAUUCGUUGGUGUGGGACCCACUGUCUCUGCACUGCCUUUGGUUGAAUCUGUCAUGGUGCCCCGUGAUUUGGUUUUAAUCAGGUUCUAUGUAAUGUGGACUGAGUGACUUAUCUGUAUGGUACUGUAGAAAAACCCAGUUCUAUCCCCGUAAACAGGUAGUAGAACCUAACAUAGGGUGAUAUACCCAACGCAGUUCUAUUUUCUCUAACCCCUCUUCUUCUUUAGUUUCACUACAUUUAUUCACUAACCACGCUACUGUAAGUGGUUCCACAUACGUGUGGUAAAUAACCACAAUUGGUUUCAAUUGUAUUUUAACUUCAGUACGGGUGUCUCUCUGUCUCCUCUCUUGUGGAUGUAAUGGAAGAGUAAACUCACAUACAUGUCUUUCCCAAAACGCAAUUCUUAAAUGUAUCCCUUCUUGUACUAGUCUUAAAGACUUGUUGUCUAUACCAGUCUAGAUUUAUUUCAGCACAUAGAAAUUCUUGAUAUUGACUAGCAUAUAUCCAUUCACUGUUAUCAAUACACUCAAUUCAUUCAACAAUUGUACCACACCAAAUCUAUAAUCCCACCAAUUAUACAUAUAUCAAAACAAAACCAAUGUCUUCCCUCAGGUAAGGACACCAUACACAACCAUUCUUUAAAAACCUGUGCCUUCCAUCAGGUAAGGACACCUUACACAACCAUUCUUUAAAAACCUGUGCCUUCCCUCAGGUAAGAACACCAUACACAACCAUUCUUUAAAAACCUGUGCCUUCCCUCAGGUGUCAUGCCCUGACCAUAGAGAGCCCUUGGUUCUCUAUGGUGUAGUAGGUCAGGGCGUGACUAGGGGGUGUUCUAGUUCAAUAUUUCUAUGUUGGUGUUUUGUAUGGUUCCCAAUUAGAGACAGCUGGUAAUCGUUGCCUCUAAUUGGGGAUCAUAUUUAGGUAGCCAUUUUUCCCACCUGUGUUUGUGGGAUAUUGUUUGUAUUGGUGCUUGUUUGUUGUUUUGGUUAAGGAAGUUUCACUUUAAAUAACUAUGUGGAACUCAACAAACGCUGCACCUUGGUCCGUCUCUUACAACAACUGUGACACCGGUUAAGGACACCAUAUACAACAAUUCUUUAAAAACCCAUGCCUCCCCUCAGGUAAGGACACCAUGCGCAAAUAACACUUUCAAUCACUUGUCACCCAGUACCUUAGUACUGACUUGGUUCAUCCUAAUCUAUAACCAAGUUCCUCACACAAGGUUCCAUUAGACCCUCAGGAAUUUCUAACUAUUACACCUGGGAUUCUGUCAUUUAUCACAUAUACAUCAUAUUACAGUGCUUUUUCUAAUUUUAGACAUCUGGUUUAACAGGCAUCUGCUUACCUUCUAAUUUGAUGCGCUGCACAGUGGGACGAAGAUCAUCCAGAUGCAGUGGUCACCAACUCCUGUGGUUUCUCACUCUACUAUAAGCCAUUUCAACUUCAUCUGGAAAAAUCGUAUACAUUAUAUUAGGAAAUCUGUCAUUAUGAAUAUGGUGAUCUCAAUUGUUUUUAUUUUCUUAUUUUGAAUAAUACUUAAGAUAAAUUGGACUAAACAUUUCUUAAAGAAUCCGUCUUCAGUUUGGAAUCUCAUCCCUCAUAUCUUCUCCUGUUUUGGUGGCCUCAAUUUUGUUACUUUGUAACUAUAAACUGUAUAAGAUUCUUACAAAAUGAUCUGCUUUUCAUAGACAAGUAUUCUUAGCGUGGUCGUUAAUAUAUAAACAAUUUCUCCCCGCAUACAGUGCCUUGCUAAAGUAUUCGGCCCCCUUGAACUUUUCAACCUUUUGACACAUAUUCAGAAUAAUUUUGCACGGCCAAUUUUUCAGUUUUUUAUUUGUUAAAAAAGUUUGAAAUAUCCAAUAAAUUUCGUUCCACUUCAUAAUUGUGUCCCACUUGUUGUUGAUUCUUCACAAAAAAUUACAGUUUUAUAUCUUUAUGUUUGAAGCCUGAAAUGUGUCAAAAGGUCGAAAAGUUAAAGGGGGCCGAAUACUUUCGCAAGGCACUGUAGGUAUUUCAUUUGGCACAAGGAUAUUUUGUAUAGAAAAA